CCUUAAAGAGAUUAUAGUGCAGAGAGGUUAUAGUGGAGGAAGGAGGGUGGUGAAGGGAGCAAAGCCUCAGAGAUUUUAUAGCACAAACAUAGUUAAUAGUGGACAAGAGCACCAGGGUCUUGCAGUGGUUUGUAAAGUGUUGUUGUUUUUAAACAGCUGUUUGGCCUAACCAACACAUCUGCAAAAUAUUGUGGCCUAAAAAUUGUUCCUCAGAUGUUCCCACUGGAUAAUCAGGAGCUGUGCACUGGCAGCAGCUGGGGAGGGGAAAUUUGGAGAAGGGCUUACAUGGACUGAGGGCAGCUCUCUUUUCUACAGGGCGUUCCACGGAGCAGAUGAGUGGUCGUGGUUUCUUCCCAGCAGAGCUAGAACCCCCGGAAAGGUACAGCGGGUGCUCUGGCUGUCACCGCAGCGCUCCAAACCUGUGGCUGAAGUCGAUGUCUUUCCUUCUGAGCAGUGACCGUCUUUCCAGUCCACAGAAGGAGCGGUUCCUCAGACCUGGGGAGAGAUGCAGAGACCUGCCGAUGAUCGGAGCUAGAAAGCGUGGGGACAAUGUCAAAGACGCUUCAGGCAGUUGCUGUGUCAAGUUACAGUCUACUGAAAGAGAACAGAGUGCAAGUGGGAGAGGAAACAGAGAGACAGCUGUAGAGGAACUGGGCCAAGGUCACCUGGUGAAUGAAGUACAGAGGCAGUGUCCGUCUGCUGUGGCGUAGCGCAGUGACUGAAUGCGUUCGCUGCUGUCGCGUUUGAGUCUUGCGAUUUCUGCAGCAGGCUUUGAUUCCUAUGGAACAGAGAGGUCAGAGAUUGGGGAAGAACUUAGUUCAAAUGUUGUUUUGUUGGUGAGUUGACAGGUGUGCAGGCAGGGGGUGUAGCUCAGUGGUAGAGCAUUUGACUGCAGAUCAAGAGGUCCCUGGUUCAACUCCAGGUGCCCCCUCUUUUCCUCUCCUUCCAUCUCCCUUUUGCCAAGAUUUCUCACAGAAAGAAGAUGGAGAGCUCUUCUGGGAUCUUGUGAGCUUGUGCUGUACAGUGCAGGUUGGUUUCUGAGCUCCAUUAUGCACGGUACUGAGGCCCUGACUAUUAGGAAACUGCAGGGGUCAUGCACUGUGUGAGUAAGAACUCACUGUCUGUGUGUAAUUGCCUCUGCUGUUGAUUCUCUGCAGUAAUUCUCUGUACAGCCUUUGGCAGGCACAGUAUGAGGCACGCGGGGCUGUCAAGCAAAGGAAUCUAACCAUUGGAUGUAAAAACUUGUCUCUCUCUGUGAAUGUUUU
Molecule: long non-coding RNA, 1265 nt
Organism: Aquila chrysaetos chrysaetos
Lineage: Eukaryota; Metazoa; Chordata; Aves; Accipitriformes; Accipitridae
Exons: 2
Source: RefSeq, a predicted model, not a curated record